This 71-nucleotide non-coding RNA is filed under the name Pseudomonas sp. CFII64. RNAcentral describes it as "narK RNA". It matches the Rfam family "narK RNA". The record is from RNAcentral. Lineage: Bacteria; Pseudomonadati; Pseudomonadota; Gammaproteobacteria; Pseudomonadales; Pseudomonadaceae.
GGCCCAGCUUUUGCUUAGCUAAUCACACAGGUAGCCAACGGCGGUUGCCCCACCUACGACAAAGACGUCGC